CAUAAGUCGCCUGAGAGAAGAGUACCAGAUACUGAAGCUGCCAUCCAGGAGAUCAAGGAAGAAGUUAUCAAUGGGGUGACUGGGAAUCCACAUAAGUCACCCGAGGCAUAUAACUGGAGAGUUUGUGAAGAAUUAUGAACCAACCAUUGGUAUUGAAAUUUAUCCAUUGGAUUUCACUACAAACUAUGGAGGGAUCCGAUUCAAUUGCUGGGACACUACUGGGCAAGGAAGCUUUGUAACAUUUUUGAAGAUGGGGGCUAAAUUUUUUUUCCUGAUCUGCAGAGUAUGUGGAGAACAAAUCCCUCUGUCAUCUGUGGUAACAAGGUAGAUGUGGGGAAUAAGAGGAAGGUCAAGCCUAGACGGAUCAGGUUCCCCAGGAGGAAACAGUUGCAGUACUAUGAAAUGUCUGCCAAGAGUAACUAUAAUAUUGAGAAACCCUUCCUAAGUCCUGCAAAGAA
Panicum hallii is the source of this 458-nucleotide long non-coding RNA. RefSeq lists it as uncharacterized. The record is from RefSeq and is a predicted model, not a curated record. The transcript is spliced from 3 exons. NCBI's taxonomy places the organism in Eukaryota, Viridiplantae, Streptophyta, Magnoliopsida, Poales, Poaceae.